ACGGAAGGCAGCAGUGGGGAAUAUUGCACAAUGGGCGAAAGCCUGAUGCAGCGACGCCGCGUGAGUGAAGAAGUAUCUCGGUAUGUAAAGCUCUAUCAGCAGGGAAGAAAAUGACGGUACCUGACUAAGAAGCCCCGGCUAACUACGUGCCAGCAGCCGCGGUAAUACGUAGGGGGCAAGCGUUAUCCGGAUUUACUGGGUGUAAAGGGAGUGUAGACGGUUUGGCAAGUCUGAAGUGAAAUGCGGGGGCUCAACUCCUGAACUGCUUUGGAAACUGUCGAACUAGAGUGCAGGAGAGGUAAGUGGAAUUCCUAGUGUAGCGGUGAAAUGCGUAGAUAUUAGGAGGAACACCAGUGGCGAAGGCGGCUUACUGGACUGUAACUGACGUUGAGGCUCGAAAGCGUGGGGAGCAAACAGGAUUAGAUACCCUGGUA
Molecule: ribosomal RNA, 434 nt
Filed under: uncultured Clostridium sp.
Lineage: Bacteria; Bacillati; Bacillota; Clostridia; Eubacteriales; Clostridiaceae
Also listed under: 1 other name
Description: partial 16S ribosomal RNA
Rfam family: Bacterial small subunit ribosomal RNA
Source: RNAcentral